UUGAAUAUCACUCAUUCUUUUCGUAUAACCCUGACAAUACGGGUCGGGGGUCUCUACAAGGAACCCUAACAUUCCUGGCUACGAAGGUAGAUUUAGUCUAC
This 101-nucleotide non-coding RNA is filed under the name Paenibacillus swuensis. RNAcentral's name for it is "Guanine sequence". It matches the Rfam family "Purine riboswitch aptamer". From Rfam's summary of the family: Riboswitches are metabolite binding domains within certain messenger RNAs that serve as precision sensors for their corresponding targets. Allosteric rearrangement of mRNA structure is mediated by ligand binding, and this results in modulation of gene expression. Lineage: Bacteria; Bacillati; Bacillota; Bacilli; Caryophanales; Paenibacillaceae. The record is from Rfam by way of RNAcentral.